AAAUGAUAAAGGCAAAACCAUCGAAAGAUGGUGACGCAAAACUACAGGGGCUAAAGCGAUUCGCUAAGCCAGCCAGUUACCGAC
Molecule: regulatory RNA element, 84 nt
Organism: Paenibacillus yonginensis
Lineage: Bacteria; Bacillati; Bacillota; Bacilli; Caryophanales; Paenibacillaceae
Rfam family: c-di-GMP-I riboswitch aptamer
About the family: GEMM was predicted in a large-scale screen for bacterial structured RNA regulatory elements. Genes associated with GEMM are involved in a diverse array of functions, including chemotaxis regulation, signal transduction, secretion and chitin.
Source: Rfam